Vigna unguiculata (cowpea) is the source of this 810-nucleotide long non-coding RNA. The record is from RefSeq and is a predicted model, not a curated record. NCBI's taxonomy places the organism in Eukaryota, Viridiplantae, Streptophyta, Magnoliopsida, Fabales, Fabaceae.
UUUUUAUCUUUAUUCAUACUUUUACUUCUACUUUUCUUUUCUUCGAAUAGGUUUCAUCUUCCCCUUACAGAUUCACGGUUCUUCUUAAAUUCUCGGACCAUUAUUUUCGUUCUCAAAUCCUUCUUUGUACAUUUUUCUCCCGCCCUAGCCUCAUUACCCAUUCAUUCUUCUCCUCCAUUUAAUCGUCUUCCACGACCAACACUCACAGUUUUCGUUCACAACCCUAAACUGCAUCAGUUUUUCCUCUACACAAGCCUCUGCGAGCACCUUGUUGCACCUUACCACGAGUUCAAAUUGUUGAGUGUCUGCCCUUGUUUGGAUAUUUUUCCGUCGAUGGACGCUCACACACUCUAGGAAAUAACAAUUGUGAUCGUUUCCGUAAGUACAUAGCAUGGUGGAGCAAAUUUUGUGAACUCUGGAUACACCAAGGGGGAUGGACUUGGAGUUGAGAUUAUUGGCACUUUUGUUCUUGUCUGCAUCGUUUUCUCUGUAACUGAUGCCAAGAGAAACGCUAUAGACUCUUACGUUCCUAUUUUGGCUCCACUUCUCAUUGGAUUUGUUGUGUUCUUGGUCCACUUGGCCACGAUUCCCAUCAUAUGAAUGGCAUUAACCUGCUAGGAGUCUUGGAAUAGCCAUUAUCUACAACAGGGACCAUGCAUGGGAUGACCAAGGAAGCAUGCCACUGAAUGUCUUCCAACAUUGGACAUGUCAAAAUCAACCCCAACUCAAGAAUUGGUUGCUAAGGGAUCUUCGUAUCCCAAAGGACUUCCUUGUUCAGAUGUUAGGGGAAGAACGGGUUAUCAAAGGCAA